Molecule: long non-coding RNA, 481 nt
Filed under: Cercocebus atys (sooty mangabey)
Lineage: Eukaryota; Metazoa; Chordata; Mammalia; Primates; Cercopithecidae
Description: lncRNA (ENSCATG00000045662.1)
Source: RNAcentral
UGCCAUUCAUUUAUUCAUCCCUCAAAUAUUUAUUGAGCUUCUACUAAAUACCAAGCAAUGCUAAAGGCACUGAAGAUAUAGCAAUAAGCCAAGCCAAGUUUCUCUCUCAAGUAGUGUCAUUUUAUUGUGGUUACAGUUGACAGGUAAUAAAACAAAGAUAGGUGUGCCUGUGUAUGUGUACGUAUUUAUUUUAUACAGGGUGAUUGAAGGACUCCUACAAUGAUAUCAGAGCAAAAAUCUGAAAUAAGUGAAGGAAAAAUCAUGCAACUCCAGGAAAAAAAUAUUGUCUUUAAAUAUUCCAAGUUCUUAAAUCUGGGGAGGAAAGCCAACACCCUUUUGGAGCCAUGAAUACUGCCCAGACUCCAUCAGCUACUCCGUUUGGAAUUUCAGCAGUUUCACAGACACGGACUCCUGCAGGCAAUGCUGCAGCAUCCUAGGUUGAUUCAUUCACUUAAUGAUCCAAAAAAUAUGAGAUGAUUUC